Molecule: ribosomal RNA, 253 nt
Filed under: uncultured bacterium
Lineage: Bacteria
Description: partial 16S ribosomal RNA
Rfam family: Bacterial small subunit ribosomal RNA
Source: RNAcentral
UACGUAGGUGGCAAGCGUUGUCCGGAUUUACUGGGCGUAAAGGGCGUGCAGGCGGUUUGUUAAGUGCAGGGUGAAAGCUCCCGGCUUAACUGGGAGGGUGCGGCGAAAACUGGAAUGCUAGAGGAUGGGAGAGGUAAGCGGAAUUCCUGGUGUAGCGGUGAAAUGCGUAGAUAUCAGGAGGAACACCUGUGGUGUAGACAGCUUACUGGACCAUUUCUGACGCUGAGACACGAAAGCGUGGGUAGCAAACAGG